This 497-nucleotide ribosomal RNA is filed under the name uncultured bacterium. RNAcentral describes it as "partial 16S ribosomal RNA". It matches the Rfam family "Bacterial small subunit ribosomal RNA", at positions 28 to 507 of the family's 1533-position model. The record is from RNAcentral.
GACGAACGCUGGCGGCGUGCCUAAUACAUGCAAGUUGAGCGCUGAAGGUUGGUACUUGUACCAACUGGAUGAGCAGCGAACGGGUGAGUAACGCGUGGGGAAUCUGCCUUUGAGCGGGGGACAACAUUUGGAAACGAAUGCUAAUACCGCAUAAAAACUUUAAACACAAGUUUUAAGUUUGAAAGAUGCAAUUGCAUCACUCAAAGAUGAUCCCGCGUUGUAUUAGCUAGUUGGUGAGGUAAAGGCUCACCAAGGCGAAGAUACAUAGCCGACCUGAGAGGGUGAUCGGCCACAUUGGAACUGAGACACGGCCCAAACUCCUACGGGAGGCAGCAGUAGGGAAUCUUCGGCAAUGGACGAAAGUCUGACCGCGCAACGCCGCGUGAGUGAAGAAGGUUUUCGGAUCGUAAAACUCUGUUGGUAGAGAAGAACGUUGGUGAGAGUGGAAAGCUCAUCAAGUGACGGUAACUACCCAGAAAGGGACGGCUAACUACGUG